UCCGGUUUAACACCGGCAGUCUCCUUAGAGUCCCCGGCAUGACCCGCUGGCAACUAAGGACAAGGGUUUCGCUCGUUAAGCGACUUAACGCGACAUCUCACGACACGAGCUGACGACAGCCAUGCAGCACCUGUGCACGUUCCACUCUUGCGAGUGUGGCUCGCCUUUCGACGAGUUAAUCCGUGCAUGUCAAGACUAGGAUAAGGUUCUUCGCGUAGCCUCGAAUUAAGCCACAUCCUCCACCGCUUGUGUGAGCCCCCGUCAAUUCCUUUGAGUUUCAGCCUUGCGGCCAUACUCCCCAGGCGGAGCACUUACCACUUUCGCUACGGCCGGAAACCUAUGGAGGGGUCUCCAACCAAGUGCUCAUCGUUUACGGCUAGGACUAC
Molecule: unclassified non-coding RNA, 386 nt
Filed under: uncultured Pirellulaceae bacterium
Lineage: Bacteria; Pseudomonadati; Planctomycetota; Planctomycetia; Pirellulales; Pirellulaceae
Description: contains 16S-23S intergenic spacer region
Source: RNAcentral